GAGUUUGAUCCUGGCUCAGGAUGAACGCUGGCGGCGUGCCUAAUACAUGCAAGUCGAGCGAACAGAUAAGGAGCUUGCUCCUUUGACGUUAGCGGCGGACGGGUGAGUAUCACGUGGGUAACCUACCCAUAAGACUGGAAUAACUCCGGGAAACCGGGGCUAAUGCCGGAUAAUAUUUAGAACCGCAUGGUUCUAAAGUGAAAGAUGGCCUUGCUAUCACUUAUGGAUGGACCCGCGCCGUAUUAGCUAGUUGGUAAGGUAACGGCUUACCAAGGCAACGAUACGUAGCCGACCUGAGAGGGUGAUCGGCCACACUGGAACUGAGACACGGUCCAGACUCCUACGGGAGGCAGCAGUAGGGAAUCUUCCGCAAUGGGCGAAAGCCUGACGGAGCAACGCCGCGUGAGUGAUGAAGGUCUUCGGAUCGUAAAGCUCUGUUAUUAGGGAAGAACAAAUGCGUAAGUAACUGUGCGCGUCUUGACGGUACCUAAUCAGAAAGCCCGGC
RNAcentral lists this ribosomal RNA (505 nucleotides) under uncultured Staphylococcus sp. RNAcentral's name for it is "bacterial SSU rRNA". It matches the Rfam family "Bacterial small subunit ribosomal RNA", at positions 9 to 496 of the family's 1533-position model. The record is from RNAcentral. Lineage: Bacteria; Bacillati; Bacillota; Bacilli; Caryophanales; Staphylococcaceae.